CGAGAGGGAGUCAAGACAGCGUCCAAAUGAAAGCGAGAGGGAGUCAAGAUGGAGUCCAAAUGAAAGCGAGAGGGAGUCAAGACGGAGUCCAAAUGAAAGCGAGAGGGAGUCAAGAUGGAGUCCACAUUAAAGCGAGAGGGAGUCAAGAUGGAGUCCACAUUAAAGCGAGAGGGAGUCAAGAUGGAGUCCACAUAAAGGUGCCGCAAAAUUUGUGCAACAGAAUCCACAUUGCCUGUCUGGUCUACUUUCCUGACGUAGGUCCAGAAACCUGUUUUGAUUUGAUGGUUUUGGCGUCAGUGAGACGGCGGUCUGUUUCAGGUGACGGUGUAAAGUCUGCUGAACAGACACGUCUGGAAAUAAAGAGAUCUAUUCAGCGCUUAAUGGUAAGCUUCCCAGAGGCUCUGGGGCAGAUUUGUGGUGGGCGAGGAGGAACAUUUACAAUGUAAAACAAGCCUGCUACAUGCUGCACGGCUCUGUCC
Long non-coding RNA from Ictalurus punctatus (channel catfish), 479 nucleotides. The record is from Ensembl. Lineage: Eukaryota; Metazoa; Chordata; Actinopteri; Siluriformes; Ictaluridae.